RNAcentral lists this ribosomal RNA (374 nucleotides) under uncultured bacterium. RNAcentral describes it as "bacterial SSU rRNA". It matches the Rfam family "Bacterial small subunit ribosomal RNA", at positions 524 to 898 of the family's 1533-position model. The record is from RNAcentral.
UACGAAGGGGGCUAGCGUUGUUCGGAAUUACUGGGCGUAAAGCGUGCGCAGGCGGCUUCUCAAGUCAGGGGUGAAAGCCCAGAGCUCAACUCUGGAAUUGCCUUUGAGACUGAGUGGCUUGAGUACGGGAGAGGUGAGUGGAAUUCCCAGUGUAGAGGUGAAAUUCGUAGAUAUUGGGAAGAACACCGGUGGCGAAGGCGGCUCACUGGCCCGUAACUGACGCUCAUGCACGACAGCGUGGGGAUCAAACAGGAUUAGAUACCCUGGUAGUCCACGCCGUAAACUAUGAACGCUAGCUGUUGGCAGGCUUGCCUGUCAGUAGCGCAGCUAACGCAUUAAGCGUUCCGCCUGGGGAGUACGGCCGCAAGGUUGAA